This 425-nucleotide long non-coding RNA is filed under the name Brassica rapa (field mustard). Its description in RNAcentral is "long non-coding RNA (BRAP_LNC007745)". The record is from RNAcentral. Lineage: Eukaryota; Viridiplantae; Streptophyta; Magnoliopsida; Brassicales; Brassicaceae.
AAGACUAAAAAGUAGCAAAACCAGCAGUACAAAAUCUAUUUAACUAGGUGUUUUCCUACGCCAUAUGCAGAAAUUGUUUUUUUUUUUUUUUAUCAUCAGACUAAAUAGACUCAUACUGACUCUGCAAACCAAACUGGUAGCUAUGCAUUCAUAUGAACGACGAAAGACUGUUGUUUUUUGGCAUUGCGUGCUAGACUAUCCGCCUGUAAAUUCUUCGUUCGGGAUACAUGAAUGAUCUUUGAGCUGAGGAAACUUGUCUUCAAAAUUUUUAUGUCUUCCAGAUAACUUUCAAACGCUGGCCAUUCUUCUGGUUUCGAAACUAUCUUCACCAAUUGAGAACAAUCCGUAGCAAACAUGGCCUGAAACUAACGUAAAUUUCUCAUACACUCCAUUGCCCAUAUCAGCGCUUCCAUCUCCGAGUGAAG